UGGGAACACACUACACAGUGACAGCAU
Molecule: non-coding RNA, 27 nt
Filed under: Homo sapiens (human)
Lineage: Eukaryota; Metazoa; Chordata; Mammalia; Primates; Hominidae
Source: RNAcentral